AGGGAAGGGGGAAAUAGUAUACAGCAAACACCCUUCAGGCAGGUAUUAUCAAGCUCCGUCUGUGAAGGUGAGGCGGAAGAGGCCACACCAGGGAGAAAGUGAUUAUGAGAAACAUGCAGAAAACAAGAGCACAUACUCAUAGUCACAUAGAAAAUGAGGUGAGGGGAAGAAAUCUUCAUGAAACCGUCUCAAGGUAUAUUUAAACGUGGCUCCCUGCAGGCCACCCAUUCUUUGUCCCAGCUAAUUCAUAUACGAGAGACGUUUUACUUCAGAGAGAUUGCCAAUGGAAAAAAUGUGAACGAAACACCCGCAUGGAUGGCCCACGGUGAGGCGUCUCUGAUCGCUAUCAAA
This 351-nucleotide long non-coding RNA is filed under the name Pan troglodytes (chimpanzee). RNAcentral describes it as "long non-coding RNA NONPTRT001600". Lineage: Eukaryota; Metazoa; Chordata; Mammalia; Primates; Hominidae. The record is from RNAcentral.